GUGGCGAACGGGUGAGUAAUGCGUCGGAACGUACCGAGUAAUGGGGGAUAACGCACCGAAAGGUGUGCUAAUACCGCAUACGCCCUGAGGGGGAAAGCAGGGGAUCGCAAGACCUUGCGUUAUUCGAGCGGCCGACGUCUGAUUAGCUAGUUGGUGGGGUAAAGGCCUACCAAGGCGACGAUCAGUAGCGGGUCUGAGAGGAUGAUCCGCCACACUGGGACUGAGACACGGCCCAGACUCCUACGGGAGGCAGCAGUGGGGAAUUUUGGACAAUGGGGGCAACCCUGAUCCAGCCAUUCCGCGUGAGUGAAGAAGGCCUUCGGGUUGUAAAGCUCUUUCAGCUGGAACGAAACGGUGAGCUCUAACAUAGCUUGCUAAUGACGGUACCAGCAGAAGAAGCACCGGCUAACUACGUGCCAGCAGCCGCGGUAAUACGUAGGGUGCGAGCGUUAAUCGGAAUUACUGGGCGUAAAGCGUGCGCAGGCGGAUUGUUAAGCAAGAUGUGAAAUCCCCGGGCUUAACCUGGGAAUGGCAUUUUGAACUGGCAGUCUAGAGUGUGUCAGAGGGGGGUGGAAUUCCACGUGUAGCAGUGAAAUGCGUAGAGAUGUGGAGGAACACCGAUGGCGAAGGCAGCCCCCUGGGAUAACACUGACGCUCAUGUACGAAAGCGUGGGUAGCAAACAGGAUUAGAUACCCUGGUAGUCCACGCCCUAAACGAUGUCAACUGGUUGUUGGGGGAGUGAAAUCCCUUAGUAACGAAGCUAACGCGUGAAGUUGACCGCCUGGGGGAGUACGGUCGCAAGAUUAAAACUCAAAGGAAUUGACGGGGACCCGCACAAGCGGUGGAUGAUGUGGAUUAAUUCGAUGCAACGCGAAAAACCUUACCUACCCUUGACAUGUCCGGAAUCCUGCAGAGAUGCGGGAGUGCCCGAAAGGGAAUCGGAACACAGGUGCUGCAUGGCUGUCGUCAGCUCGU
This 976-nucleotide ribosomal RNA is filed under the name uncultured Pseudomonadota bacterium. RNAcentral's name for it is "bacterial SSU rRNA". It matches the Rfam family "Bacterial small subunit ribosomal RNA", at positions 95 to 1063 of the family's 1533-position model. The record is from RNAcentral. Lineage: Bacteria; Pseudomonadati; Pseudomonadota.